GAGGAGGGUGUGUGGGGGCGGGGGCGGGGCAGCACUAGUCGGCCAUGGAAGCUCCUGACGCUGGUUGCCAUGGCUACUGACACCUGCAUCACCCUUUUCCCAUCAAUUAACAGGCAGAUCUAAGGACAGGGUGGCCCCAUGUCCAGCUAAUUUCUAAUAUAUUAUUUACUCUAAUCAAUCACUCUUUUAUCCCAAGCAGCUUAAACCCACCCUGAGUUUUCCUGAAAGGUCCUGACGAGCAAAAGAAACUAUAAAAACACGCGAGGUUGGAGCUCCUGCUUAGAUGAAACAGAUGACUUUCUGGGCCCGCUUCUGCUCACAGCAGGCAGGUGCAACAGUGACGGAUUGGUUGAAACAUGAGGAUUAAUGGAAUCACCCGAUGAAAGGAGGCGUCUGUGCUAUAACCCUAUUCAUACAAAAAGAGAGACGGUGCUGGAUGAAGCUCUCAUCUACAGUGACCAGGGGCUGCUAGGAGACUUGAUCUGCUCUCAAACCGAAAGGAACACAGACGCAUGCAGAAGGGCCCUCGACACAGGCUCGAACGGACGUCAUGACGAUGUUGUUUAUUUUAAAUUCUAUCUGAAAUGGGUGUCCAUGCUCCCCGCCCCCCACCACACACACACUGUAUUGUAACUGGAAGGUGAGCGUCUGUCUGCAGAAACAGACACCGUUCAACAGGGUAUGGCUAUUCACUAAUCAACUCCACCUGCGGAAUUUCUAAUGCAAUGAAAUAAACAUUGCCUCAAUUCGAGGAAUGUCUUGGCUAAAGUGUCCUUCAACUUUCCAGCCCAGGCUUGCAUGAAAACUUAAGGCAAGUCAAUCCUGCUUAAGAAUAUGGACUUUGGGACCACGAUCCUGUGCUGAAAAAUAAAAUUCUCCGAAGAAUAAAAUUCUGGAGUCAGGUUGGAGUUUCUCAAGCUUGGCAGACUGGAUGAUUGAUUGACUUGAUUAAGAUGAUAGACAUAAUAUAAGAAGGAAAAGAAGGGGCUUUCCAUGUUCGAAUUCUUCUGCAGAACCUUCAGUGAAAGCAUAAGUUGUGAAGUGACAGUUUGUCCAGGGCUGGUGGGAGUGGGAGUGGAGGUGAUCUGUCUUUUUUUACUUCUUUUCCAAACACCUGUAAACACCCAACAGAGC
Molecule: long non-coding RNA, 1134 nt
Filed under: Ovis aries (sheep)
Lineage: Eukaryota; Metazoa; Chordata; Mammalia; Artiodactyla; Bovidae
Description: lncRNA (ENSOARG00000026987.1)
Source: RNAcentral